RNAcentral lists this ribosomal RNA (89 nucleotides) under Neogale vison (American mink). Lineage: Eukaryota; Metazoa; Chordata; Mammalia; Carnivora; Mustelidae. The record is from RNAcentral.
GUCUACGGCCAUACCACCCUGAACGCGCCCGAUCUCGUCUGAUCUCGGAGCCUGGAGCGUUCUCUAAAUUGCAGGACGAGCCGUGGCUG